CCGGGCCAGAAGAAAGAGCCCCCUCCCCCAACGCUUCCGCCUGCGGUCCUCAUUCGGUCCUCUCCCUCCUCUCUUCUAGCUUGACAUGCCUGCAGGGUCUCCUGGCGCGCACUGCCAAGCUGACCCCUUUAGGGGUGGCUUCCCCCCCCCAAGGCGGCAGUGCACCUGCUUCACAUGGAGGAGGAAGCAAGUAGCCCCUCUCCGCAAAGCCAGGCCAGAACCGCAGAUGGAAGAGGGUAUCCCCUCUGGUGCUGUUCUUCAGCCUCCGCCCACUAGCUGGAGUCCGUGAGAAGAAUCGUCCUUGCUGAGCUGUCCUGGCUGUGCCUCUAAACCAAUGAAGAAGAGCUGCAGAUCGAAGAUUUGGAAUAAGAGGCAGGACAGCAAGGGAGGGAGCCCUGUUUCUCUCUGUGUGUGUGUGUUGCUUGAGCGCUUUUGUUGUUGUUAUAUAUAUAUUGUAUUUUUUAAUCUUUAGAUUCAUAAAUAAAGUCAAUUUUGACUGAC
This is a long non-coding RNA of Rhineura floridana, 501 nucleotides long. RefSeq lists it as uncharacterized. The transcript is spliced from 4 exons. The record is from RefSeq and is a predicted model, not a curated record. Lineage: Eukaryota; Metazoa; Chordata; Lepidosauria; Squamata; Rhineuridae.